UUAAUAAACCAUUAACGAAGAUAACGAAUUGGUAUGAUCGUUAAUCAUGUCGUUUUCCGCUUAAUUAUAAAAGAUAUUUGAUUCGAAUUGGUUGAUGAACGUUUAACGAGUACAGUUAAUCGACCGAUAAAUAACAAGAAACGAACAAAAGGAAACCUACGUAUUCACAAGCCAGUUUGGGAUACACUAUAUUGUUAUUUCCUUCUUAGAACUAAAUCGAGUUUACUAUAAUGAUUGCAUUUAUGAAGCUGACUUUAGUAAACGUCACACAGAAAUGUAUGUGCAGGUGCCAAGGAGCUGGUUUAAAUUUAGCAAUAUCGCGUGCAACCAAUACAUUGUCGCAGGAUUAAUUGAUUUGACCUGAGGAAAAAAUCAUCCAUACGUUAUCAGUAAAAUAUCAAACGCACAUUUAUAAAUAUUAAACAUGUCAUUAGAAUUUUCUACAAACAAUAUAUUAAUUUUUAUAGAAAAAUAUAUUCUUAUUCAAUCAUCGCUAUCAGAUAAGAUUUCAAAGGAUGAAGAAUCCUCUUUGUGCGAAUGAAACCGAAGAUUUGUACCGUGCUUUAUCUUUAUCCGCACUAUUGUUUCAAUACAAUUAACAAUAUGAAUAGCACAACGUUUUACUAAAUCUCGAAACGAUAAUAGUAAUCAUUUGCCAAUUAUUAAUUACAAUACAAAUUUAACAACGUGAGAAAUUUUUAAUAAUAAAAAAUUGUGUUAUAUUUGAAUUGACAUACUCUUAUACUUUAAUAAUAUUAUUCGAAAUGAAAGAUUUAUUUCCUGAUUGUCGUGAAUCAUCAAUGAUUCAUAAAAUACAUUUAAUCCAUCUUUUUUUAUGGAUAAAUUGUAACUGAAAUUACAACGAUGAAAAAUUAAUACGAUAUAAAAAAGGUUAAAGGAUUUGUGAUUCUCAGGAUCUCCCAAGGACGAUUACGCACUGAAUGACACGGUCCGCGUUACGUCACUGAUAAGAUGUCGCACAUGUUUCGUGACACGAAUGCGUAUGACGAAACAUCGUGGGAGGAAAAGCGUCAAACGAUGAAAAGAAAAAAAGUAGUGGAAAGGAGAUCAUAAAAAAUAUAAAGAAAAUUCUUUCUCUCCUUUUGGAAAAAAUGGAAUAAAAAAAUGAAGAGUAUCGGAGAGAAUCGAAGCAAAAUAUACUGAUAAAAAAAAAAAAAAGAAAGAAAAAAAGGAUAAUACGAAAAAGAAAAUAUACAAAUAUUUAUUAUAAUAAUAUUUAAUUUUAAACAUUCGCAUGAAAAAAAUUAAAAUAAA
Molecule: long non-coding RNA, 1275 nt
Organism: Apis laboriosa (Himalayan honeybee)
Lineage: Eukaryota; Metazoa; Arthropoda; Insecta; Hymenoptera; Apidae
Exons: 3
Source: RefSeq, a predicted model, not a curated record